GCAGUGAGCCACCCCACCGCCGCGCCCAACGCAAAUGCGGGCGGGGAGGAAAGUCCGGGCUACGCAGGGCGCCCUGCUUCCUAACGGGAAGGACUGGCCAAUCGGGCCAGGACAGCCAGUGCCACAGAAAAUAACCGCCAUUGGGCAAUGGAUGAAUGAGUGAAGGAGUGAAUGAGUAAAUAGUUUGACAAAACCACCUCAUUCACUCCUUUACCCAUUCGCCCAUUCACUCAUUGGUAAGGGUGAAAAGGUGCGGUAAGAGCGCACCAGCGGCUGGGUGACCAUGCCGGCUGGGUAAACCUCAGGGGUUGCAAGACCAAAUAAGCAGACACGUCGCUAGCCCCUCCGGGGCCGGCGGCACCGGGCGGCCCGCCCGGGUUUGCGGGUAGGUCGCUGGAGCCCACGGGCGACCGUGGGCCUAGAUAAAUGGUGGGGCCACCGCCAGGGGAAACUCUGUAGGGUGGACAGAACCCGGCUUAUCGGCUCAUUGCGUAA
This 495-nucleotide RNase P RNA is filed under the name Hymenobacter madidus. Its description in RNAcentral is "Hymenobacter sp. BT559 RNase P RNA component class A". It matches the Rfam family "Bacterial RNase P class A". Rfam says of the family: Ribonuclease P (RNase P) is a ubiquitous endoribonuclease, found in archaea, bacteria and eukarya as well as chloroplasts and mitochondria. Lineage: Bacteria; Pseudomonadati; Bacteroidota; Cytophagia; Cytophagales; Hymenobacteraceae. The record is from RNAcentral.